AGAUUUUUGCUUCUCAAAUCACCUAGUUGAUGAUCUCGGACCAACCACAUUUCUAUCUUAUGUUAUUUCUAUUUCUAAGUACUUAUGUUAUGUUUUGUGUUUCGAAAACUCUAGUUGGUCUUUGUUUCUUUUCCAAGGAGCAUGUAUGCCUUUACUCCUUGCUAGUUGUUGAAAGCUUGUGCAUGUACAAGUCUUUCUAUACUUAUAUGUUUUGAAACUUAUAUCAUAUAUUUUAUCUAAAACCUUUGUUUCUCUCAUCAUCUUGCUUGUCGAGUUGUUUAAUUGUUAUGGUGUGUAAUAUCCAGAGUUAAGAGUGUGUAUCUCGGUUUGUCAUAUCCGACCUAGUCACGUAGGAGUAUCAAGGAGCCUUUCCGCAGCCUCUUGUGUCACCAAUCGAUCCACAUACCUUGAUAGACUUGAGUCUCUGAUUCGUUUAUGCAAGGAUCUAUCUCAUCUGUUCCAGAGUAUCAUCCUAGGAUCUCUUCAGAGAUGAGGCGCGUCACGGAGAGAGGAGAAGAGGAGGCGACAGAGGAAGAGUGAAGACGUCGUCAUCGAUGUUGUCGGCGUCAGCUUCAUCUCGGCAUCGUGGUCGCUGUUGUUGGCGGCUUUACAAGCCUCUCCAAUAGCCUUCUUCACUCUCAGCAUCACGAUUGGUAUUCUCUCAAUUGAUUGGGACAGAGACGACGAAUAGACUAACAGAGACAAGAUAUUGCAAAUCUAGUAGGGAGAAGAGAAAGAGACAAAAAAGAGUAAGACAAAAAAUAUUAAAUUAGAAAAAAUAAAAAAUUUGGGUCCGUUAG
RNAcentral lists this long non-coding RNA (800 nucleotides) under Brassica napus (rape). RNAcentral describes it as "long non-coding RNA (BNAP_LNC024142)". Lineage: Eukaryota; Viridiplantae; Streptophyta; Magnoliopsida; Brassicales; Brassicaceae. The record is from RNAcentral.